AUCCAUCUGACGAGUCCCAAACAGGACGAAACACGCGUCCUGGAU
Non-coding RNA from Schistosoma mansoni, 45 nucleotides. Lineage: Eukaryota; Metazoa; Platyhelminthes; Trematoda; Strigeidida; Schistosomatidae. The record is from Rfam.